AACGAACGCUGGCGGCAUGCCUAACACAUGCAAGUCGAACGAGACCUUCGGGUCUAGUGGUGCACGGGUGCGUAACGCGUGGGAACCUGCCCUUAGGUUCGGAAUAACUCCCCGAAAGGGGUGCUAAUACCGGAUAAUGUCUUCGGACCAAAGAUUUAUCGCCUUUGGAUGGGCCCGCGUUGGAUUAGCUAGUUGGUAGGGUAAAAGCCUACCAAGGCGACGAUCCAUAGCUGGUCUGAGAGGAUGAUCAGCCACACUGGGACUGAGACACGGCCCAGACUCCUACGGGAAGCAGCAGUGGGGAAUAUUGGACAAUGGGCGAAAGCCUGAUCCAGCAAUGCCGCGUGAGUGAUGAAGGCCUUAGGGUUGUAAAGCUCUUUUACCCGGGAUGAUAAUGACAGUACCGGGAGAAUAAGCUCCGGCUAACUCCGUG
This 433-nucleotide ribosomal RNA is filed under the name uncultured bacterium. Its description in RNAcentral is "partial 16S ribosomal RNA". It matches the Rfam family "Bacterial small subunit ribosomal RNA", at positions 29 to 507 of the family's 1533-position model. The record is from RNAcentral.